Molecule: long non-coding RNA, 229 nt
Filed under: Homo sapiens (human)
Lineage: Eukaryota; Metazoa; Chordata; Mammalia; Primates; Hominidae
Description: non-protein coding lnc-HHIPL1-1:5
Source: RNAcentral
UCCUGGGCUCAAGCAAUUCUCACACCUCGACCUCCUGAAUAUCUGAGACUACAGGUGCAUACCCACAUCCCGCUAGUUUUUAUACUGUUUGUAGAGGCUGGUCUGGAACUCCUGGGCUCAAGUGAUCUGCCACCUCAGCCUACCCAAGUGCUGGAAUUAUAGGUGUGAGCCACGUUGCCAGGCCUGAAUGUGUUUUUAAAUUUAAAGUUCCAGGCCGGGCACAGUGGCU